RNAcentral lists this unclassified non-coding RNA (402 nucleotides) under soil metagenome. RNAcentral describes it as "partial contains 5.8S ribosomal RNA, internal transcribed spacer 2, and large subunit ribosomal RNA". The stretch from base 1 to 121 matches the Rfam family "5.8S ribosomal RNA", at positions 35 to 154 of the family's 154-position model. The record is from RNAcentral.
GAUGAAGAACGCAGCGAAAUGCGAUAAGUAAUGUGAAUUGCAGAAUUCAGUGAAUCAUCGAAUCUUUGAACGCACCUUGCGCCCUUUGGCUAUUCCGAAGGGCAUGCCUGUUUGAGUAUCAUGAACACCUCAACUCUCAUGGUUUGCCAUGAUGAGCUUGGACUCUGGGGGUCUUGUUGGCCUAUGGUCAGCUCCUCUCAAAUAAAUCAGCUUGCCAGUGUUUGGUGGCAUCACAGGUGUGAUAACUAUCUACGCUUGUGGUUUCCCAUCAGGUAACCUUCAGUGAUGGAGGUUCGCUGGAGCUCAUAAAUGUCCCUCCUCAGCGAGGACAGCUUUUUGAACGUUUGAUCUCAAAUCAGGUAGGACUACCCGCUGAACUUAAGCAUAUCAAUAAGCGGAGGA